GGGGGGGGGGGGGGGGGGGGGGGGGGGGGGGGGGGCGGGGGGGGGGGGCGGGCGGUGGUGGGGGGCGCGGGGGGGGCGGGGGUGGGUAGGACGUGAGUACCCUGCCCUUGACUUGGGGAUAACUUCAGGAAACUGGGGCUAAUACCGGAUAGGCGCUCCUGCUGCAUGGUGGGGGUUGGAAAGUUUCGGCGGUUGGGGAUGGACUCGCGGCUUAUCAGCUGGUUGGUGGGGGAGUGGCUUACCAAGGCUUUGACGGGUAGCCGGCCUGGGAGGGUGACCGGCCACAUUGGGACUGAGAUACGGCCCAGACUCCUCCGGGAGGCAGCAGGGGGGAAUAUUGCACAAUGGGCGGAAGCCUGAUGCAGCAACGCCGCGUGCGGGAUGACGGCCUUCGGGUUGUAAACCGCUUUCGCCUGUGACGAAGCGUGAGUGACGGUAAUGGGUAAAGAAGCACCGGCUAACUACGUG
Molecule: ribosomal RNA, 468 nt
Filed under: uncultured bacterium
Lineage: Bacteria
Description: partial 16S ribosomal RNA
Rfam family: Bacterial small subunit ribosomal RNA (bases 52-468)
Source: RNAcentral